Osmia lignaria (orchard mason bee) is the source of this 2953-nucleotide non-coding RNA. The record is from RefSeq and is a predicted model, not a curated record. NCBI's taxonomy places the organism in Eukaryota, Metazoa, Arthropoda, Insecta, Hymenoptera, Megachilidae.
CAAGUGGGCAGUCGUGAUCAAGUAGUCCAUGCAAACAACCGGCACCAAAUUCUCGUUAAUCUUCUGAGUUAUGGUUGAGCCGUGUUCCCAAACAAUCUACAGAGACUCCGAAGGUUCUAGCUUAUUUAAGCGGAAUACUAUGUUUAUGGAAGGAUGCGACGAGUUCCAAAAGCGUUUCUUUUUUUAUCUUCAGUUCAUCAGGAUUUCAUUAAAAUUCAUAGGAUUUCGAAUCAAUGAAACUUUUUUAUUUCUUCACAAAGUAAAACUGGCUCUUUAUUCCCCGUCUCACAAUGUCGUGAUUAACAAGCUGUUCAGCAUCUCUAAAGAAAGAGACAGAUUAAGGUUUUAAUUUCACAAAGUUUCCCACUUGAACAUUGAUAAACAAAGUAAUAUUGUUCCUGUCGUGAUUUAUUUUUAGACACAAUUUUGAAGUUAUGGAUGCGUUGAGGGUGAAUUCGAUACAGCUGAUGGAGGAAUUAUCAGGCAACACACGACGCUUGGAAAACUAUCAAAGUUUCGAACGAAAACUUUUCUUCGCGUGUCGUUUUAAAAUUCUGCAAGAAAGUCCGAUACAAAGUGUUAUAGUUUUAAGAAACUUUCUUAUAGAAAGUCUUAUUUGUAAUCGUUUUAAAAUAUUGACUUGUAAAAUGGAUGCUCUGAUACUAGAAAAGCAUUUGAGGUGCGCGUUUAAGAGAAUCUAGGAAGUGAUAAAAGUCAUCAUAAAGUAAUAGUGGAGGCAAUCGUGUUUUAAUAUCAUCAUAUACGCUGAUACUCUAUUCUAAGCAUUUACGCCUGUCUUUAUUUAUAGAGGCUUAACAUAUCACUUCCCGAACAUCAUUAUAGCCUUCACUCAAAUUUUAGCUCUUAUAGAUCCAUCACGAUCGAAGAUAUUUAGCGUAAAUUUAAUCAUUGUUCGUGGAUCCGAAGGGAACACGUUCAAAUUUCGCGAACGAUUUAGAGCGAAUCUCGAUCAACGACGAAGCGCGCUAAUUUUUAAACUGUCACUAAUCGUUUGUAGAUCAAGUCUUGUAUUUCUUUUUCAAGAAUACGGAAUCGAAGAGGAACACGAUUGUGGAUAAAACGCGUCCGUCUUCUCAACCCUGUGGCGCGUAACUGAGUUCUUCUCCGUGACACACGGGGACAAAGCGACGGUGGAGGUGGAACGGAAGCGGUAGUGGCAAACUGGAGAAAGAAAAUCGACGAUACUGUACGAUGCAAACUUGGAAGGCUUUCGAAACGGUGAACUUUUGAAAUAGAAGAACACUUAAUAAAUGAAGGAAAAACCUGGAAAUAUAAUACAUCGUAUAAUUAACGAUGAGCAUGGCUGAUAUAUGUUGACCACAAGAAUAGAAAACUCUAUUUAUAUCAAUUCGAAUACUUCCGGAAGCAUCAUCCUCUCUGAAUCAUGAGGUUGCGAGAUAACGUUUGGACCGUAUCUUUAAAUGAUUAAUAGACUGGGACAUUGCGGCUCCGAUCAGGAUCUAAAAUUAAUAAAAAUUCGAUUUGUCAAGUAUUAUAAAUUAUUUGAAAUAGAUGACUUACUGGAUAUUCUGCUGGUCAAGUAGGAUCGUCUGGAAAACAAGCAGGUUCUUCCAUGGAGGAUUGAAACAUCGACACGUGAAAAUUAUAGAGUAUAAUGAAAUUAACGAUAAAUUUUAAUUGCUGGAGUGGCCUUAAACAUGUCUUCGACCCGAGCCUGUUAUCACAUUGUUCUAAUAGCCGGCAAUUACGUAAUUAGUGGGAAGUGCGGUGAGAACCAUCGACUUUCAUGAAUUUCACUGUUCUUGUAUUCGAAUAUCGAUGAAAUUUUGAAUCAAGAAUUUUACAUUUUCUUCAAUUAUAAGCGUGUCGGUAACUCAAUGUGGUUGAGAAAUAACGCUUUAAAUAGUUGCACAGUUCAAACGUUAUACUAACGAAAAUACUACGCUAACGAUUAGACCAGCAUCGCGUGAUAAUUUCACGAAAAUAUCCUCGCUUGGCCUUUUUACGUUUAAUAAAAACACGCAUCAGGAAAAAUGAUUCCGAGAAGCAACUAAAUAAAACCAUAUGACUAAACAAAAUUUAUAGUACAGUUUAAUAGAAUUCAAGUCUUAAUGAAUAAAUAAUUCUAUGUUUUAUAGACUAUGAUAGAAAGAUGAUUGAAUGAAACUAAUUAUUGGUCUUUAAACAUUCUUUAGUGUCAUGUAUAAUCACUUCCUUUCAAUAGUCUUUAAUCAGGCAGAGAUUUUAAGUGACACGUAUCCAACGGCUUAAAGACACCUUAGCGUAGCUAAUAAUCUUGACGAACAGUGAACGAGACCAUUCGAGGUAAUUGAAACGUGCUUUAUUCUACGUAACAGGCGCAUAACAGGUCAUUUGACAUCGCAUAAAAGGAUCCUUAAUUGCAUUGCAAAGUUGAACGAGUUAAGCAUGGAGAACGAUGACAAGAACGUGAGUUGUACGGAUCUGAAUCGAAUACGGGUCAUGUUCCUGUUCUACCGGACGUGUCAACACACCCCAAGGAACUAAGCACCUAAUGAUUUUAAUGUUAUUGGAAGCGGAUAAAGGAUAGAUGAAUAGAACGCACCUCGAAUAGAAAAAUAAGUAAAUAAAAAGUUAGGAAAAACUUGACGCGCUUCGUGUCGCGUGGAUAACUCAGGUGGGGUACACCUGGGGAAACAUAAAAUGCUACUAGAGACUAGGAGAUCCAAUUAGAGAGAUACAUUUUACAUGGUGUUAGAUUGCAACAUAAAUGAAGUAUAAAUAUUUCUUAGAUAUUUAAGUUCUUAUUAAAUUCCUAGGCAGAAUAUUUCCUCGCGACAUAAAGAUAUCGUAUGAAACGAGAGAAAAUUAUGAAUUCUACUUUUCUAUUUCGUUUUUUCCAUCCGUUUCUUCCAUCUGGAAAGUUUUUCCUUCAAUCCAAUACCAAUUAUCUGGCUCACAAUAUCAACGUUAACGAACCAGCUUACUUACG